GAGGAAAAAAGUCUUUGAAUGCUAGAAUGAUCCUCUGGCAGACCUUUCGCAGCAAAGAAGACAAAUGAAAAGUAAAAAGUUGGCUGAAAGCAAUCCUAUAUAUAUAGGAUCCCUCAACGGUCAGGAUCAAAGCAUCCAAAUCAAGAUCUUAUCAGAUAUUGACACAUGGUGACAUCUGAGUCGAUUAUUGAUCGCACCUACUCCAGAUCGAGCCACGUCACCACUAUCCGCAUGAACAGCUCC
RNAcentral lists this long non-coding RNA (243 nucleotides) under Elaeis guineensis (African oil palm). Its description in RNAcentral is "long non-coding RNA (EGUI_LNC007150)". The record is from RNAcentral. Lineage: Eukaryota; Viridiplantae; Streptophyta; Magnoliopsida; Arecales; Arecaceae.